RNAcentral lists this ribosomal RNA (871 nucleotides) under uncultured bacterium. RNAcentral's name for it is "bacterial SSU rRNA". It matches the Rfam family "Bacterial small subunit ribosomal RNA", at positions 73 to 915 of the family's 1533-position model. The record is from RNAcentral.
GGGAUGAUGAGGUUAGCAGAAAGUGGCGAACGGGUGAGUAACGCGUGGGUAAUCUACCCUGUUAAGUGGGGGAUAGCCCUCCGAAAGGAGGGCUAAUACCGCAUAAUAUCUUCUCCUCAUAAAGAGAAGAAGAUUAAAGAUGGCCUCUAUACUAUGCUAUCGCUUCAGGAUGAGCCUGCGUCCUAUUAGUUAGUUGGUGGGGUAAUGGCCUACCAAGACCACAAUGGGUAGCCGGUCUGAGAGGAUGUACGGCCACACUGGGACUGAGAUACGGCCCAGACUCCUACGGGAGGCAGCAGUGGGGAAUAUUGCGCAAUGGGGGAAACCCUGACGCAGCGACGCCGCGUGGAUGAUGAAGGCCCUUGGGUUGUAAAAUCCUGUUCUGGGGGAAGAAAGCUUAAAGGUCCAAUAAACCCUUAAGCCUGACGGUACCCCAAGAGAAAGCUCCGGCUAAUUAUGUGCCAGCAGCCGCGGUAAUACAUAAGGAGCAAGCGUUAUCCGGAAUUAUUGGGCGUAAAGAGCUCGUAGGCGGUCUUAAAAGUCAGGUGUGAAAUUACCAGGCUUAACCUGAUAAGGUCAUCUGAAACUUUAAGACUUGAGGUUAGAAGAGGAAAGUGGAAUUCCCGGUGUAGCGGUGAAAUGCGUAGAUAUCGGGAGGAACCACCAGUGGCGAAGGCGGCUUUCUGGUCUAUCUCUGACGCUGAGGAGCGAAAGCUAGGGGAGCAAACGGGAUUAGAUACCCCGGUAGUCCUAGCUGUAAACGAUGGAUACUAGGUGUGGGAGGUAUCGACCCCUUCUGUGCCGCAGCUAACGCAUUAAGUAUCCCGCCUGGGGAGUACGGUCGCAAGGCUGAAACUCAAAUGAAUUGACG